Molecule: unclassified non-coding RNA, 232 nt
Filed under: Hevea brasiliensis (rubber tree)
Lineage: Eukaryota; Viridiplantae; Streptophyta; Magnoliopsida; Malpighiales; Euphorbiaceae
Source: RNAcentral
AUCAGGAUUCGCCAAGACGUGGGCUUCAACAGCCUUGAACAGUCCACUGGCUUUCAGUUCGCCCUCCUUGAUUUUGUCUACAUCGAUCUUGCUAUCGCCCUUUGGGUAGUACUUGGUGGUGCACUUGCUGAUGGAACCCCCAUCAGGAGAAGGAACUAUCUGGGUCUCAUAAGAAACUUUCUCUAGUCCUUCCAACCAUGGAUCAGCUUCAAUAGCAGUGUAGUUGUAAAUG